This is a long non-coding RNA of Cheilinus undulatus (humphead wrasse), 397 nucleotides long. RefSeq lists it as uncharacterized. The record is from RefSeq and is a predicted model, not a curated record. Lineage: Eukaryota; Metazoa; Chordata; Actinopteri; Labriformes; Labridae. The transcript has 2 exons.
GUCAACUAGUCAAAGAUGGAGUCCGGAGCUGGGAGGCCGUGAGGUUGCCAACAGACGAAACAUGAUUUGUUCUGACGGAGGAGCCGUUACGCGUUGCGAAGCGUCACCGCGGAGGAACGGCACGCGGCUGUAGGGAAUUAACGGUAACGGAGGGAGGGUUUUCCCCGCUGGAGUGAGCAACUUAACUCCCGUUGUGCUUCUUCUCCUUCUUCUUCUUGUUCUUCUUCUGUGCUGGGAGCUGCACGGACCGGCCCUUCCUCUGCCAGACUGAGACUACUGCUGAUGUCUUUCCAUGAUCCAUGCAAAGAAACAAGACCAUGAGAAGAUUAUUGAUUAUUUCUGUAUUUUGAUUUAUUGCUUGCCAUCAAUGUCAAAUAAAAAUGUUGGCAGACCAAAA